CAUUAGAAGGCUAUGCGUAGAUGCUGCGGGAGAGGGUGGACGUGAGUCCCCUUCCCCCAGUGCGCUACAAAAACCCAGACCGUGUACCUGACCAUGUUGCUUCCCCGGGCCCGCAGGGCGACCUGCCCGGCUCCGGCCCCUCAUGACACGAGGGGCCGGCCGGCCGUGGACCGGGAGAAGGGCCGGGAAUGCAUUUUCCCGGAAGAAACCGCCCAAACCAGCCUGCGGAUGAGAAGUCUGACGCUGGCCUUUGCGCCACCGGUUUUGUUUUAACAUACUUAAAACUUUCAACAACGGAUCUCUUGGUUCUCGCAUCGAUGAAGAACGCAGCGAAAUGCGAUAAGUAAUGUGAAUUGCAGAAUUCAGUGAAUCAUCGAAUCUUUGAACGCACAUUGCGCCCCAGGGCAUUCCUUGGGGCAUGCCUGCUCGAGCGUCACAUAACAACCCACUCACAAGCAUUUGUGGUGCUGGCGGAUGUGGCCACCCCCGGUUUUUUUGGGGGGGCCCACACCGCUGAAAUGGAUCGGGCGGACGGAACCCCUUCUCGCCAACUGGCUUAGUAAAAUCGACGUGAAGUCAACCAGCCAGGAGUAAGGGUGGCGCCCUGCCCUCAGUAAAAGGACCCCUCCAUCCACUGGGAUGAGAAAACUUGGGUUGACCUCGGAUCAGGUAGGGAUACCCGCUGAACUUAAGCAUAUCAAUA
This 703-nucleotide ribosomal RNA is filed under the name Labyrinthomyces sp. 1 GB-2013. RNAcentral describes it as "eukaryotic LSU rRNA". The stretch from base 283 to 436 matches the Rfam family "5.8S ribosomal RNA". Lineage: Eukaryota; Fungi; Ascomycota; Pezizomycetes; Pezizales; Tuberaceae. The record is from RNAcentral.